RNAcentral lists this ribosomal RNA (464 nucleotides) under Vreelandella stevensii. Its description in RNAcentral is "partial 16S ribosomal RNA". It matches the Rfam family "Bacterial small subunit ribosomal RNA", at positions 338 to 795 of the family's 1533-position model. Lineage: Bacteria; Pseudomonadati; Pseudomonadota; Gammaproteobacteria; Oceanospirillales; Halomonadaceae. The record is from RNAcentral.
CCUAUGGGGGCUGCAGUGGGGAAUAUUGGACAAUGGGCGAAAGCCUGAUCCAGCCAUGCCGCGUGUGUGAAGAAGGCCUUCGGGUUGUAAAGCACUUUCAGUGGGGAAGAAAGCCUUGGGGCUAAUACCCUCGAGGAAGGACAUCACCCACAGAAGAAGCACCGGCUAACUCCGUGCCAGCAGCCGCGGUAAUACGGAGGGUGCGAGCGUUAAUCGGAAUUACUGGGCGUAAAGCGCGCGUAGGCGGUCUGAUAAGCCGGUUGUGAAAGCCCCGGGCUCAACCUGGGAACGGCAUCCGGAACUGUCAGGCUAGAGUGCAGGAGAGGAAGGUAGAAUUCCCGGUGUAGCGGUGAAAUGCGUAGAGAUCGGGAGGAAUACCAGUGGCGAAGGCGGCCUUCUGGACUGACACUGACGCUGAGGUGCGAAAGCGUGGGUAGCAAACAGGAUUAGAUACCCCGGUAGUC